GGGGAUUUAGCUCAGUGGCAUAAGCACCUGCCUUGUGAACAGGCAGUCGUGAAUUCAAUUCCCG
Cavia porcellus (domestic guinea pig) is the source of this 64-nucleotide non-coding RNA. NCBI's taxonomy places the organism in Eukaryota, Metazoa, Chordata, Mammalia, Rodentia, Caviidae. The record is from Rfam.